Long non-coding RNA from Amphimedon queenslandica, 632 nucleotides. RefSeq lists it as uncharacterized. NCBI's taxonomy places the organism in Eukaryota, Metazoa, Porifera, Demospongiae, Haplosclerida, Niphatidae. The transcript is spliced from 3 exons. The record is from RefSeq and is a predicted model, not a curated record.
UAGAAUCAUUUCGGUGCAUAAGGUCCAUUGCAUAACCUACAUUCCUUGGCAUCACGUGAUGAAUCAUGGCAGAAUUAGGGAAGGCAAACAACGGUGCAACGAACAAACGAUUGAGGAGCACUCCGACUAGAAGGACUCCUGUAAAUAGGCCUAAAAGACGUCCUGCUGUCUCUGAUGCUUCCAUCAAAGGUAUUCAAUUAGUAUAGCGGCGUGGUGAACAGAAGGAGAAGGUUUUCGAGUUGAGGCUGUUUCUCGGGACCAUCAUUCAUUGCGUAGCACCAGUCCACUAUUCCUAACUUUUAAUUUUGUGGCGUUCUAUUUGGUUUGUGAUAACAUCAGCCCACUUUUCCACCUAGUUCCACCUGUAUGUUACUACUUCAUGUACAAUUACAGCUGGCUCUUAUUAACUCACCUCUAUGUGGUGAAGAGGCUGCUUUCUGAACGAUUUCAAGUUGAAUCUGUUUUUCAGUCAUUCAAUAGUGAGAGACUGUAUAUAUCUUAAUAUAUCACCAAUUGAUGGCACCUCAUUGAAAUGCCUCCUCCACUCAAGGGGUAUCAAUAAUCGUUAUAUUGGGAAGAUUGCAAUGCUAGCCAAGUCAAGGGAAGAUCUGGACCACUUACAUGUAAGUCAA